Perognathus longimembris pacificus (Pacific pocket mouse) is the source of this 104-nucleotide small nuclear RNA. NCBI's taxonomy places the organism in Eukaryota, Metazoa, Chordata, Mammalia, Rodentia, Heteromyidae. The record is from RefSeq and is a predicted model, not a curated record.
GUGCUUGCUUUGGCAGCACAUAUACUAAAAUUGGAAAGCUACAGAGAUUAGCAUGGCCCCUGUGCAAGGAUGACAAGCAAAUUUGUGAAGCAUUCCAUAUUUUU